RNAcentral lists this unclassified non-coding RNA (335 nucleotides) under soil metagenome. RNAcentral describes it as "partial contains 5.8S ribosomal RNA, internal transcribed spacer 2, and large subunit ribosomal RNA". The stretch from base 1 to 120 matches the Rfam family "5.8S ribosomal RNA", at positions 35 to 154 of the family's 154-position model. The record is from RNAcentral.
GAUGAAGAACGCAGCGAAAUGCGAUAAGUAAUGUGAAUUGCAGAAUUCAGUGAAUCAUCGAAUCUUUGAACGCACAUUGCGCCCGCCAGUAUUCUGGCGGGCAUGCCUGUUCGAGCGUCAUUUCAACCAUCAAGCCCCAGGCUUGUGUUGGGGACCUGCGGCUGCCGCAGGCCCUGAAAACCAGUGGCGGGCUCGCUGUCACACCGGGCGUAGUAGAUUUUAUCUCGCUCAGGGCGUGCUGCGGGUUCCGGCCGUUAAAAAGCCUUUUUUACCCAAGGUUGACCUCGGAUCAGGUAGGAAUACCCGCUGAACUUAAGCAUAUCAUAAGCGGAGGA